AUACUUGCCUGGAAGGGGAUAUAUACCAUGAUCACACAGGUGAUUUUCCAGGGUGAGGCUUAUCCAUUGCACUAAGGAAGUGCUGACCCCUGAAAUUUCCCCAAAUGUGGGAAACUUGACUGCAUAAUUUGUGGUAGAGGGGGAAUGUGUUUGCACUUUCCCCGU
RNAcentral lists this small nuclear RNA (165 nucleotides) under Propithecus coquereli (Coquerel's sifaka). RNAcentral's name for it is "U1 spliceosomal RNA (ENSPCOG00000000403.1)". It matches the Rfam family "U1 spliceosomal RNA". Rfam says of the family: U1 is a small nuclear RNA (snRNA) component of the spliceosome (involved in pre-mRNA splicing). Its 5' end forms complementary base pairs with the 5' splice junction, thus defining the 5' donor site of an intron. Lineage: Eukaryota; Metazoa; Chordata; Mammalia; Primates; Indriidae. The record is from Rfam by way of RNAcentral.